RNAcentral lists this long non-coding RNA (3649 nucleotides) under Canis lupus familiaris (dog). Its description in RNAcentral is "lncRNA (ENSCAFG00845021803.1)". Lineage: Eukaryota; Metazoa; Chordata; Mammalia; Carnivora; Canidae. The record is from RNAcentral.
UUUUUUUUUUUCCUGGACUGAGAGAAAGAAGGGUGUCUGUGUAUUAGGGAGUGGGGUCCUAUGCUUGGUAAAAGAGGGGGGAAGGAAGGAAGGGAAGGAAGGAAGGAAGGAAGGAAGGAAGGCAGGCUUCUGUAUACAAUCCCCCAAACUGGGGAUGGUAGAAACAUGUGUUGUUUUCCCCCUUGAAUCUGUUGUAGGUCCAGCAUAUUGGCUCCCUCUGUUAAGAAAGCUUUGGAUGCUCUCACAGUUUGGGAGUGGGGUCAGGGAGAGGCAAAAGGUGUUGAAUCUGAGGACCUGGUUGGCUAUGCUUUCAUAGCUUCCCCACAGAGCUCAAAGCUUUUGCUUCUUUAAAUGCUGAGAGUUGUGUCCAGUUUGCCAGCUUCAAAACCCCCAGGUUUGAAAAGACCUAGGGCAGGAGCAUCUAGACUAGAACAUGCUUACUUAAUAUUUCCAAAUUGAACAGUCUAGAGAAAGUCUGUGAAGCUCCCAAAGGGCAUGACCGGCCUGGGUGGGCCAGUGCCAUCCUUGUUGGAGUGUCCCUAGCUCCCUGUUUUGGGGACCUUGGACUGGAGAGAUGAGGGGGAUGUUGUUUCCAGACUUUAGUGAGCUUCUUUCUGGGUGUCGACAGGGCCCGCUUUUAAGCUGGAUUUUUGGGAGCCUGGGAGGGGAGGGGUUUUAUAUGGGCAUUAUGUUUUAUAACUAGAGAAAAUAAUGCCAUGAUCUUAGUGCUUUCUUUCAUAGUCUGAGACUUUUGCCUACCUCUGAACAUACCAUCACUGACUUGGGCUAAGGAAGAGAAAUGGGCAGCUCUCUGGUUCCACUCCCAAGCUUUCCCAGGUGUGUGUGUUGGGGGGAGGGGGACAGAGUGCCUGGGUUUCCAGGAUAUCAAGCACCCUUUCCCUACACAAGUACACAAACAGAAUUUUACAUUGAAUGGGGCAAAGACUAGCAGGAAUUUUUUUUUUUUUCCACCAAUGUCUCUGCUUGAGAAGGGGGUUCUUAGCAUGGCUAUGUAAAUCAAUACCGAGUUAUUUCUUUGAAUUCAAAGGCUAUUUAUUGAGGUCUAAUUUCCUUAGAAUUAACGUGAUAACUGAGCCCAACUUAGCAACCAAACCCAACCAGGCCCUUCGGGGUUGAAUGCACUUCUACAGGGCACCAGAGACUGCACACCUUCCUCUGCACCCACCCCAUUCCCUGGCCAAAGGGAGUGGGCUAACCCCCCUCCAUAGCUAAAACGUAAGGGGACUUUCCGUCUCAAAGGUCCCAUUCCUCCCAGAGCGGCCUUGAGCUCCUUGACCUACCCGCGGUCCUAUAUUGACAAUCGUAAUCUUUCUCUAAAUAACGUUGACAGCUAGAAUACAAGCCCCCAAACCUCGACACCUUUAAAAGCAAAAGGUGGUCUAGGCCUCAAAGUCUGCCUUCUAAAACUUCUUAGUGAAUUAGACCCUCACCUAUUACAGGAUCUUAAAGAGCCUUUGGCCUGCUUGGCCUGCUACUCCUCCAGAUUGCCGGCUUUCCUUCUAUUUUGAAUGAUAAAGAGCGAGCGGGACUCGCCUGCCCUCCUCCUCCCACCCCCAGGGGCUGGCCGGGGAUCCCAGCCCGCAAAACAAAGAGGUAGAAGCCGCGCCGCCCGGCGGGCAUAGGGGCCUGGAGCCUCUGGGGCAGGCGCGCCCUUCGCUGGAGGCCCUGCAGAGUCCGAGAGUUCCUGCGUCUCAGGAGGGCCGGAGGUGCGCUCCGCCCUAGGACACACUCGGGGUGACCGGCCUCGGCUCGUUACCGCCGCCCACGACACGGGGCGAAGGACUCGGCAGCCCGGAUGCAGGGUUCGGCCGGACAGAAACGGCCGCGGGGAGCUGCCCCUGCGGCAGCCAGCCAUCGCGCACCCGAAUCCUCGAGCGGAGGCCGGUGGCAGAGGCCACACGUGGCAGCCACCAGCUGCGCGCCACCUUGGCAACCGUGUGGGGCCGGGCUGGCUCUCCGGCCGGCUCUUCCUGGGACUGGCCAGAAAGCCGGACGCCCAAGCAGCGGGGCAUUCUAUCCCGCACACUCGCACCGGGACCUGCACCAAGGAGCCCUGGUCCGCUCCGCUUCCCAGCCCCUGACUGCCGGAGCUCAAUCCGGUGCUCAGCAGGACCCUUCCCAUUGGCGACAACUGCUACUCCGGUGUAGCUGCCCACUUGCUCGUCUGGAACACAGUGCUGGGGUUUUAUCCUCUAAUGGGGGUGGGAUGAGCUACAACCCCGACAAUUUCAGCCCUCCAGGCUUCCUUGGGAAUUAACAAGGGGGGGAAGAAACCCUUUGCAAAUAGGGGCUGCUGAGCCCUGGAUCGGGUGUUCAGUGCGGGGACUUUCUCGGGUCCCGCCACGACCCGACCCGCUCCGUGUGCGGCCAGAGUUGGGGAAGCCGGCGAGGAAAGCGGUGCACCUGCGAGCAUAAAGAGAGAAACACAGACGAGCAAGGGGUUGGGGGGCGGGGGGGAGAGAAACGCCUUCACCGCGUUAACAGCAAGCUGCAGGGUAUAAAGCAAUAAAACUGCCACGUCUACCUGCUGGCUUUGAGGACAUUACCAACAAGCUCGGCUCGAAGCCCGGGUGCACCGAGAGCCCGCCGGGGAAGGGGGGGUGCUUUUCUUUUCCUGACCUCUCCUCUGCCCCCCCAUAUACACACCCUACACACAUCUCCCCCUUACCCAGACCACCUUUCAUUUUCCUUGAAGCUUUUUUUGUUGUUGUUUUAAUUCACUGCCGAUUUGUAAACGCGUGGAUCGGGUUACUGGUUCGCGUGUUAAAGUGCACCUCUUGUUAAAAGAAGGGGAACAAGGCACGCCACUUAAAAAUGAAUUCAGAGUUACUGAACCGGCUCCCGAGGCUCAAGAAGUUAAGCUCGGCGGGCUGGGGCUGGGGGGUGGGGGUGGGGGAGAGAGAGUAAAACGCUGCUGCCCUGCGAACCCUGGAGAAAACCCAUGGGCAGCGAGCUUCAGGUAUGUGAUAAGAUGGAGGAAGGAAGGAAAGAAAAAGAAAAAGGCAAACUAGCCUGGCGACGCCUGGAGACCCCGGGCUGGGAGCCGCGUAAAUCAAUUAACAAAAGCCGCUACUGCCGAGCUCCGCACAGCGAGUAAAUGGAGUCCGAGCUGACACUUCUGCAGCCACCUUUCCCGGAGUUCGAGGCGAGCGGAACCGAUACAUUGUCAAUUUCUCGGGUCCCAUAGGUCGCCUAACUUAUGGAGUCCAAGCGAAGGGGAUGCAUAGAAGUCCCAGUAGUCUUCCCAAAGAAAGACCCAGACUUGUCCCUGCAACCUCUAGACACGUUGACCUGAAGACGUUAGAUGGUGCAUGUGUCCGUGUGGUCAAAGGCUCGCGGCUCGGGUCCAGUGGCGGACUGAACGCUGGCGCCGAGCCCACGGGGGUCUGCAUACAGUGCCCACCCAGUCCCGAUCCACUGACGGUGCAGACGUCCUGCGCCUCCCCGCAGUCCCGGGCCCCGACUCCUGGCGCCUCCCGGCCUGCCCUCUUCCGCGCCCGCUCCCGGGUCCGGCUCUCCUACCUGGUGGCCGGGCCUGAGCUGCGCUCCGGGACUCCGUGCGGUCUCCGCUCGGCUGCCUGGAUCUGAGUGGGUCUGGAGACUAGAGGGAGAAAGGCUAGAUCCGCAG